Calidris pugnax (ruff) is the source of this 527-nucleotide long non-coding RNA. RefSeq lists it as uncharacterized. Lineage: Eukaryota; Metazoa; Chordata; Aves; Charadriiformes; Scolopacidae. The transcript has 4 exons. The record is from RefSeq and is a predicted model, not a curated record.
UUACUAAUGGCCCUUGAUGACCCAUAUGAGAUGAAGGGAAUCAAAUGUAUUCCUCCCAGGACAACCACAAGACUUCCAAACAAGUUGGCAUGUGAUACAAUAAUUGUCUUAUUCGCAUUCCUGUCUUCUCUGCUUGUUAGCCAAGCAUCAUCCAGCGAGAGGACAGAGCACUCUGCGCUGCUGGCCGGGCAGAAGGAGCCCUGCACGGCGCAAUGAUCCAGUGGAGUGGGGACGACUUUUUAAGCAACAAUCUAGGCCAACAGCCUUCACAAUUACCACAGGGUGUUCUAAAACAUUGUGUUUAAACUCGGUGAACGCAGCUGUUCUCCUCCAGUGCAAAAGUACCCCCAGGUCUGCACUGGUUGCCAAAGGACCAGACAGAAUCAUUUGUUGACUUUGCCAAGACUUCUUCUGACACCUGUAAUUGUAGCCGAUUUCCAGACAGACAGUUCUUUCACAAACCCCUUGAAGUACACUGUACUUGUAUGUAUGCUAGGAAGUCCUUGCUACUGAAAAAACCUGCAAAU